CAAUAGCGUAUAUUUAAGUUGCUGCAGUUAAAGAGCUCGUAGUUGGAUUUCGGGUGGGAAUGGCCGGUCCGCCGUUUCGGUGUGCACUUGCUACGCCCACCUUGCUGCCGGGGACGUGCUCUUGAGUUCACGCUCGGGACACGGAGUCGGCGAGGUUACUUUGAGUAAAUUAGAGUGUUCAAAGCAGGCCUACGCUCUGAAUACAUUAGCAUGGAAUAACACGAUAGGACUCUGGCCUAUCUUGUUGGUCUGUAGGACCGGAGUAAUGAUUAAGAGGGACAGUCGGGGGCACUCGUAUUUCAUUGUCAGAGGUGAAAUUCUUGGAUUUAUGAAAGACGAACUACUGCGAAAGCAUUUGCCAAGGAUGUUUUCAUUAA
RNAcentral lists this ribosomal RNA (377 nucleotides) under uncultured eukaryote. Its description in RNAcentral is "partial 18S ribosomal RNA". It matches the Rfam family "Eukaryotic small subunit ribosomal RNA", at positions 592 to 976 of the family's 1831-position model. The record is from RNAcentral.